CAAGUCGAACGAUGAAGUUCCUUCGGGAAUGGAUUAGUGGCGAACGGGUGAGGAACACGUGAGAAACCUGCCUUUCAUUCUGGGAUAACACCGGGAAACCGGCGCUAAUACCGGAUACUCCGUCUUGGCGGCAUCGCCGAGCCGGGAAAAAAUUUUGAUGAAAGAUGGUCUCGCGGCCUAUCAGCUAGUUGGUGAGGUAAAGGCUCACCAAGGCGACGACGGGUAGCCGGCCUGAGAGGGCGACCGGCCACACUGGGACUGAGACACGGCCCAGACUCCUACGGGAGGCAGCAGUAGGGAAUAUUGGGCAAUGGGCGCAAGCCUGACCCAGCGACGCCGCGUGAGGGAUGAAGGUCUUCGGAUUGUAAACCUCUUUCAGUAGGGAAGAAGCGAAAGUGACGGUACCUAAAGAAGAAGCACCGGCUAACUAUGUGCCAGCAGCCGCGGUAAUACAUAGGGUGCAAGCGUUGUCCGGAAUUAUUGGGCGUAAAGAGCUCGUAGGUCGUUUGUCGCGUCGAUUGUGAAAAUCUGAGGCUCAACCUCAGACCUGCAGUCGAUACGGGCAAACUAGAGUGUGGUAGGGGAGACUGGAAUUCCUGGUGUAGCGGUGGAAUGCGCAGAUAUCAGGAGGAACACCAAUGGCGAAGGCAGGUCUCUGGGCCAUAACUGACACUGAGGAGCGAAAGUGCGGGGAGCGAACAGGAUUAGAUACCCUGGUAGUCCGCACCGUAAACGGUGGGCACUAGUUGUGGGAACCUUCCACGGUUUCCGCGACGCAGCUAACGCAUUAAGUGCCCCGCCUGGGGAGUACGAUCGCAAGAUUAAAACUCAAAGGAAUUGACGG
This 844-nucleotide ribosomal RNA is filed under the name uncultured bacterium. Its description in RNAcentral is "bacterial SSU rRNA". It matches the Rfam family "Bacterial small subunit ribosomal RNA", at positions 58 to 916 of the family's 1533-position model. The record is from RNAcentral.